CUCAGCCUUCAGCAUGUCCCAGAUGUUGCAGGUAAAGUCGUCGUAGCCAACCAGGAGGAGGCGUCCAGAAAGUGAGGGUGCGAGGGAGGUGACUCCGCUCAUGAGGCUCGAGUCCUGGCAAUGCUGAAGUGCAGAAGAACGAGGUGCUCACCAGAUUGUAGAUAGAGCACAUGUUAUCCAAGCCACCACAUGCCACCAGGUUUCCUGAGGGGGCGUACGCACACGUCAUCACCCAUGAAGACUUCAGCGGGAUGGCAUUCACCUGGAACAUGGGCAUGGGGCAAAGAUUGUAUAGUUCAGACUGGAGAUACUAACAGAGAUCUGGUUCUUGAGGUUCUCCACCUCCUUCCGAAGUUGCGCCAUUUCACCCAUGGCAACAGUUGUCAGGCGCAGCCACCAACGAAGAUGAACAGGAAGUGAGAUCAGAAUAUAAUUAAAUGUCCAGAGGGAAGACAAGCAACACAGGUAAUACUCAGCGUAAUUCAUUAUUAUAGCUAAAUCUUACCUUAUAAAGCGAGGUCACUUUUUCUGCUAUUGCCGUUUAAAUGUGUUAGUGUCUCUAGCGAGCUCUUAUGACCAAAUGAGUUUGCCUAAAAUUUGUUUGAGGAGGGGGAGUGGGAGAAGGUGCAGGCUGGGUUAGA
Long non-coding RNA from Pangasianodon hypophthalmus (striped catfish), 641 nucleotides. RefSeq lists it as uncharacterized. NCBI's taxonomy places the organism in Eukaryota, Metazoa, Chordata, Actinopteri, Siluriformes, Pangasiidae. The record is from RefSeq and is a predicted model, not a curated record. The transcript has 5 exons.